Molecule: RNA transcript, 4432 nt
Organism: Bombus terrestris (buff-tailed bumblebee)
Lineage: Eukaryota; Metazoa; Arthropoda; Insecta; Hymenoptera; Apidae
Exons: 3
Source: RefSeq, a predicted model, not a curated record
UAUCCAUAAUUACGCUCUCAACAUAGUAACUGCAUCUCCAGUGCUCGAGAUCGUCGCGUCUAUUGUGAAUGCACCGGUGCUGCGAAAGUGACGACUGAAAAGCAAACCACACACCGCGCAAUCUUGCCAAGAUGACAAGUAUGACUUAGUAUCACCAUCAUCGUCCUUUCGAAAGUACGCUUGCAAGCUGAACUUGUUACACGAUAAACGUAAUAUGAUUAUAUCUUUUUAAUCGUCAGCUAUCUUACGCAACAUUACGCUGUUACGCCGAGUAAUUAAAUGUGUAACACGUUCCGGAUUUCCCUCUUGGACAAUUGCGCGAUUGGCCUCUGUGAGAAAAGUGAAAGGAAUCUUAAAUUAGGUACACCUCUGCUGCAAGCACUUUUCCAACAACCCUACGGAUGGAUAUUCUAUCUUUGUUGUGCUGUGCAAGUGUACCAUCGUCUCUCGAAGUGGAUCUCACGCGUGUCUCGCGCGUUUCACAUAUAUCUGACAACGCACUUAUGUAUACACCUUUCUUCGCUAUUCGUUUUAUACGUUUUAUACGAUAUUCAAGUGAACUCAACAGUAGAAACAGAAAGUCAUUGUAAAUUUUGUAAAUAUUUGCAAAGCAUCACGCUUUUAGUAAUUGUUUGAGAGAAAUAAAAGCUAUAGAAAUAUUUUAACAGAUAAACAUCAAGUCUGCGGUCUUAAAUCACAUGUAUGUAUUACAUGUACAGGGUGUGAAGGAAGUAAGUGUAAAUAAGAUCGUAGUAUGAUUCAACACUUCCGGAUGGGUGAAGAAGAAAGCUUUUAAAAAAACCAUAGGCUACAAAUGAUUCCUUCUGCCGGUCAACAAUGUUAAAGUUUUAAUAAUUCGUUAAUUGGCUUUAUUGGCAUAAAAAUAUUUAGUUGCAUUUACUUUUCACGGGGAGAUAACGCGCUAUCAACGAAGCAGUAGGGAAUUACAGAUAUAUCAGAAUACUGAAAUAAUGGAAGACCUUUACGUGCAGAAAAAGUUGCGUGAUGAUAUGAUUUUCAGCGACUAAAUUAGUAAUUUCGUGAUCAAGAAUUAAUAUUGCGACAUUUAAAUCCAUAUCAAAGAUUAAAUCGGCCCCGCAUUCCUAAAGAAGAUUAAUUAUUGCCAUUCCUCGUGCGCAUUUACUAAUGAAUUUACAUAGAAUAGGUGACAUCGAAUCAAUCAUACGACAAUGCGGCGAAUACGAGAGCGAACUUACAUUUUUAUAACAUUCGCCGCGUUUAAGCACUCCAAAUAGAUAUGUCACUCGGCGGAAUUUUUCCCGUUGAAUGAUACUUACGCUGCAACUAUGCUUUUUCGACCGUGUUACGAAUGCAGUAGCAUCCUCGAUCAACAAACGCCAGGAUUUCAUUUCGUGCUCGCGGAAAAGCGCACGCAAUAAUUCGAGGCAUUUAAUCAAGAAUGGGCAGCAAUUAUGUGCCUACAUCGAUAACAAGUGCGUAUAUUUGCGACUUUUACGUUCGUGACUCUAUAGCAAAUUACACCAAGUUAAAGCACACGUGCCUACUCUAUCUAUUCCACGCAUGAUUGCUCACACUCCGCCUCAUAGUCGAUCGGUUCGCCAAUUUUUCAAUGAAACGUUUAUAUUAUCGUGAACAGGAUGAAUCGUUUCCCAUGGACCACCUCGCUUUGUAGAUCCGGCACCGCUCCACUUUUUUCUUCGCGGAGUGAAAGAUAUCGUUCAGUAGUUUAAAAUUUAGUUAAAAUAGUAGUGUCAAAUUUAGUAUACUUUUUGUUGCCUAUGAACAAAAGUAAAUAUGCGUUUCUUUUACAAUUACGGAUAUCUAUGAGAAUAAUCAUUGUUGGAAAAGAAGCCUGAGCGAAGAAUUACAUAUAAAUUUGCAAAAAAAAUUUAAUUCAUUGUAAAUUAAAAAUCAGUUUGAAAAUUACUAAAAGUUUAACAUUGUUGAACGGCAGGAGGGAUAAUUUGCGACCCACGAUGCCUUUCAGACUGUUGUUUCUCGUGAUAAGCACAGUAUGCUAUAAUAAAGGAGAUUAAACUUUAAUUUUGAAAUGAAUUGAAUUUAAUGUAGGAUCCUCUUUAAACUUACUUUCUUCGCACCCUGUGCAUGACACGUCGCAACGGCAGAUAAUGACCGGUAGAGUGAAGUUACGUCCACGCAACAGCAAUCACCAAAGUGUAACUUAUAUAUUAGAUUUAUAGGGAGUAGCGUGAUGUGAGAAAUGAGAACAGCGCGUAAUUGCAAGAGUGUGAAUAUGAAAAGAUUAUUAAGUGUUAGAAAUAGACAAGAGAAGACGGGAGAAAUUCUAGACAGGGGAAGACAAAGACACGGAGUAGCGAAAUGAGAGAGGACAGGUGGAAGGUAGAAAGACACCUAGUAGGAGGUAAAAGACAAAGGGAUUUGAGGUUAAAGCGAGAACUCGGAUCUACUGGAUGCCGAUCGUGUGGGUCACAGGAAGCAGCGACACCUAUCGAAGGAAAACAGGGCUGCUGGAUCGCGGUCCAUCAGAACCAGUAUCCUUCGACACCUGAUGGACACGCAAGAAAUCAAAGAACCAAAAGCAACAGAAAGCGCUAGGUGAGAGCAGAAGGACUAAUGAGCAAAAUAAAAGAUUGAAAAAGGAGAGAAUGAUCGACUUCGACGGUACAGUGUCAAAGGCGAAUGCUCAUUAAUUGAAGCCUUUAAGGGAAAAGGGGAAGAGGGCGAAGACCGGGAAAGAGACAAAACAGGAAAAGAGAACUUGAAAAAACCGCAAAUGACAAGAAAGAAAGGUAGAUCACCACCGAUGAACAGGAAAAGGCAGGGGGGAGAAAAACGGCGAAAAACAAAUGCUGGGACCAGGGAAAUUUGGAAAUGGAGAAACUGGAUAAAUUAAGGGGAAUCAUUUUAACGAUAGAAACGGAUGUAGAAGAAUAGACAUUUACACAAUCGACCAACCACAUCGAUGUUUUAAAUUCAAUGACACUCUGAAGUAGAAGCUGAAGUAAUACCUCUGUACUAGCACGAGAGUCAAACAAGGAAUCUGUUUCACUUUUGCAAAGCACACACUAGAGACUUGGUAGUUGUCCGGUUUCGAACCAAAUUUCCUCUUUCGGAUAAUCGCACGCGUCGUUUAAAGAACGCAGCGAUUCGAAUUGCAGGUUAAGAUUAAGUUUCAUUCAGAUUAUUUACGGGCCUCGUCAUUUUUCCACUGCUAAAUCAAACAAUUUUUUCAACGUAAUAAUAGAGUUGCACCUUUUUUGUGUUUCGAACUAUCGAAGUUCUUUUCCGAAUGCCACGAUUGCUUCGCCGUAAAAAGCCACCUCUCUAUUACCACCUUUGUUUGCUGUUUUCAUUUGCAUAAUAUCGUCAUUGUUAUGGUCUUUGUCGCAAUGAAACCAUUUCAUUACAUUAGCAUAUUGAAGGUUUUUCUAGUGUUGCCAGCAUCUGCGGAAUCUACGUGCUUUGGAUAAUUUUUAAUAUCUUGUUUUUGUUUCUUAAUAUCUAUAAAAAUGUGUGUUUUUGUUAAUUCUAUUGCACUUACAACAUUUUAGAACUUUCUAAUUGUGUCAUGUUUGGUUUCGAUGGUUAGAACGCUGUUAGUUUCAUACUAAAUUCUUACAAUCAGAAUUCACUCAAUCGAAUGAAGGGGACAAUCUAUCGAUUCAUUAUUAAUGAUUAACUCAUGACUUACUGUUGGGAUCUAAAUAUGUCACAAUUGGAACUUUGUCUAUUCGUUUGAAUAGCCUCAACGGUCACUGUCCACAUCCUAAUGUUCAAAUAAUUAAGAUUAAAACAAAUAUAUAAAUAAAUAAAUGUUGAAUACGAUUUUUGAAAAAAUGCAUUUUCAUCCAAAAUAUAUAAAAUACGUACAAACGUAUUGGAUAAGAGUCCAGAAUUUCUUUUUAGUAAGAAAGAGCAAGACCAGAUUUAGAAUUGGUCAUACUAACCUGACACGUUCUCAUCUUAUAACUGAAAAUGAACCACACAAGUGCAAACACUGUAUUUUGUCUGCAGAUCAUCUUCAUAAAUUGUAGUAACUUUCCCCAACACAAAACAAAGUUUGAUCUUCCAGAUGAUAUUCAAACAUGCCUAACUAAAUCUUCUUCACUUUCUCAAGGAUAUUAGUUUGUAUCAGCAAUUAUGAUACUGUAGGCUAUUAGCUUAGUUGUAACAUACAUUAUAUUCUAUUAAUUUAAGUUUAGGUUAAUUAUACUACAUCUUGCUGUCAUUGUAUAUCCUUGUACUGUAUGUGAUUUAUGUUCAAAAUGUAUUGAUAUAUACUAUUAAGUGAGUUUGUAACUUGUUUUAUUAUAUUUUAAAUUUUGUUUCUUUUUGUAUAUUCUUGUUGUGUAUUUUAUUAAUUAUGCGACCCUAAAUAAAAUAAAUAAUAAGACAUCCGUUACUGGGAAAUAUCAUGUUUGUUGUUAUUUCUAUAUUCAGAGGUAGGAUCACAAUAGUUAUUACUAUA